RNAcentral lists this ribosomal RNA (194 nucleotides) under uncultured Weissella sp. Its description in RNAcentral is "partial 16S ribosomal RNA". It matches the Rfam family "Bacterial small subunit ribosomal RNA", at positions 338 to 524 of the family's 1533-position model. The record is from RNAcentral. Lineage: Bacteria; Bacillati; Bacillota; Bacilli; Lactobacillales; Lactobacillaceae.
CCUACGGGAGGCAGCAGUAGGGAAUCUUCCACAAUGGACGAAAGUCUGAUGGAGCAACGCCGCGUGUGUGAUGAAGGGUUUCGGCUCGUAAAACACUGUUGUAAGAGAAGAAUGACAUUGAGAGUAACUGUUCAAUGUGUGACGGUAUCUUACCAGAAAGGAACGGCUAAAUACGUGCCAGCAGCCGCGGUAAU